GACGAACGCUGGCGGCGUGCCUAAUACAUGCAAGUCGAGCGGACUGAUUAAGAGCUUGCUCUUAUGACGUUAGCGGCGGACGGGUGAGUAACACGUGGGCAACCUGCCCUGUAGAUCGGGAUAACACCGAGAAAUCGGUGCUAAUACCGGGUAAUAUCUGAGAUCACAUGAUCUUAGGUUAAAAGAUGGCUCCGGCUAUCACUACAGGAUGGGCCCGCGGCGCAUUAGCUAGUUGGUAAGGUAAUGGCUUACCAAGGCGACGAUGCGUAGCCGACCUGAGAGGGUGAUCGGCCACACUGGGACGGAGACACGGCCCAGACUCCUACGGGAGGCAGCAGUAGGGAAUCUUCCGCAAUGGACGAAAGUCUGACGGAGCAACGCCGCGUGAGUGAUGAAGGGGUUCGGCUCGUAAAGCUCUGUUGUUAGGGAAGAAACAGUACCGAACGAACUAGGUCGGUACCUUGACGGUACCUAACCAGAAAGCCACGGCUAACUACGUG
This 500-nucleotide ribosomal RNA is filed under the name uncultured bacterium. RNAcentral describes it as "partial 16S ribosomal RNA". It matches the Rfam family "Bacterial small subunit ribosomal RNA", at positions 28 to 507 of the family's 1533-position model. The record is from RNAcentral.